RNAcentral lists this ribosomal RNA (531 nucleotides) under uncultured bacterium. Its description in RNAcentral is "bacterial SSU rRNA". It matches the Rfam family "Bacterial small subunit ribosomal RNA", at positions 355 to 897 of the family's 1533-position model. The record is from RNAcentral.
CAAGGAAUUUUCGUCAAUGGGCGCAAGCCUGAACGAGCAACGCCGCGUGGAGGAUGACGGCCUUCGGGUUGUAAACUCCUUUUUCGGGGGACGAUGAUGACGGUACCCCGGGAAUAAGGCUCGGCUAACUCUGUGCCAGCAGCCGCGGUAAGACAGAGGAGCCAAGCGUUGUCCGGAUUGACUGGGCGUAAAGCGCACGCAGGCGGGUGCGCGCGUGGGGUGUGAAAUCUGGCCGCUUAACGGCCAGGCGCCAUCCCAUACGGCGCGCCUGAAGCCUUGCAGAGGGCGGUGGAAUUGCCGGUGUAGUGGUGAAAUGCGUAGAGAUCGGCAGGAACACCCAGGGGGAAACCAGCCGCCUGGGCAAGCGCUGACGCUGAGGUGCGAGAGCGUGGGGAGCGAACCGGAUUAGAUACCCGGGUAGUCCACGCCGUAAACGAUGGCCACUCGGCCUUUGGUGGCGGAACCUCCGUCGCUGGGGGCCUUAGCUAACGCGGGAAGUGGCCCGCCUGGGAACUACGAGCGCAAGGCUGC